GAUGAACGCUGGCGGCGUGCUUAACACAUGCAAGUCGAACGAGAAGUGAAGACGGAAACCUUCGGGCGGAAGGCUUUAUUUCGAGUGGCGGACGGGGGAGUAACGCGUUGGCAACCUGCCUCAUACAGGGGACUAACAGUAGGAAACGACUGUCAAUACUGCAUAAGACCACAGCAUCGCAUGGUGCGGGGGUAAAAACUCGGGUGGUAUGAGAUGGACCUGCUUGUGAUUAGCCGGUUGGCGGGGGAACGGCCCACCAAAGUGAGGAUCGGUAGCCGAGAUGGGAGGAUGACCGGAUACAUUGGGGCUAAGACACGGCCCAAAAUCCUACGGGAGGGAGGAGUGGGUAAUAUUGCAAAAUGGGGGAAACCGUGAUGCAGCGACGACGGGUGAGUGAAGAAGUAUUUCGGUAUGUAAAGCUCUAUGAGCAGGGAAGAAAAUGACGGUACCUGAGUAAGAAGCCCCGGCUAACUACGUG
This 478-nucleotide ribosomal RNA is filed under the name uncultured bacterium. RNAcentral's name for it is "partial 16S ribosomal RNA". It matches the Rfam family "Bacterial small subunit ribosomal RNA", at positions 28 to 507 of the family's 1533-position model. The record is from RNAcentral.